UACGAAGGGGGCUAGCGUUGCUCGGAAUGACUGGGCGUAAAGGGCGCGUAGGCGGAUGAUAAAGUCAGAUGUGAAAUUCCCGGGCUUAACCUGGGGGCUGCAUUUGAGACGCGUUGUCUAGAGUGAGGAAGAGGGUUGUGGAAUUCCCAGUGUAGAGGUGAAAUUCGUAGAUAUUGGGAAGAACACCGGUGGCGAAGGCGGCAACCUGGUCCUUGACUGACGCUGAGGCGCGAAGGCGUGGGGAGCGAACGGG
RNAcentral lists this ribosomal RNA (253 nucleotides) under uncultured bacterium. RNAcentral's name for it is "partial 16S ribosomal RNA". It matches the Rfam family "Bacterial small subunit ribosomal RNA", at positions 524 to 776 of the family's 1533-position model. The record is from RNAcentral.